RNAcentral lists this ribosomal RNA (523 nucleotides) under uncultured bacterium. RNAcentral describes it as "bacterial SSU rRNA". It matches the Rfam family "Bacterial small subunit ribosomal RNA", at positions 8 to 526 of the family's 1533-position model. The record is from RNAcentral.
AGGGUUUGAUCAUGGCUCAGAUUGAACGCUGGCGGUAGGCUUAACACAUGCAAGUCGUGCGAGAAAGUAUCUUCGGAUAUGAGUAGAGCGGCGGACGGGUGAGUAACGCGUAGGAAUCUACCUAGUAGAAGGGGAUAGCCCGGGGAAACUCGGAUUAAUACCGUAUACCUCCUUCGGGAGAAAGAAGGCCUCUCUUUGAAGCUUUCGCUACUAGAUGAGCCUGCGUAAGAUUAGCUUGUUGGUGAGGUAAAGGCUCACCAAGGCGACGAUCUUUAGCGGGUCUGAGAGGACGAUCCGCCACAUUGGGACUGAGACACGGCCCAGACUCCUACGGGAGGCAGCAGUGGGGAAUAUUGGACAAUGGGCGCAAGCCUGAUCCAGCCAUACCGCGUGUGUGAAGAAGGCCCUAGGGUUGUAAAGCACUUUAAGUUGGGAAGAAAAGUUAUUGGUUAAUACCCAAUGACCGUGACAUUACCAUCAGAAUAAGGACCGGCUAAUUCCGUGCCAGCCGCCGCGGUAAUAC